This 834-nucleotide ribosomal RNA is filed under the name uncultured Bacillota bacterium. RNAcentral's name for it is "bacterial SSU rRNA". It matches the Rfam family "Bacterial small subunit ribosomal RNA", at positions 58 to 871 of the family's 1533-position model. Lineage: Bacteria; Bacillati; Bacillota. The record is from RNAcentral.
CAAGUCGAACGCGAAAGUCCCGCAGGGAUUAGUAGAGUGGCAAACGGGUGAGUAACACGUGGGUGACCUGCCUUCGAGUGGGGGAUAACGUCCCGAAAGGGACGCUAAUACCGCAUGACAUCCUGUCUUUGGAAAGACGGAGAUCAAAGCUGGGGAUCGCAAGACCUGGCGCUUGAAGAGGGGCCCGCGCCUGAUUAGCUAGUUGGUAGGGUAACGGCCUACCAAGGCGACGAUCAGUAUCCGGCCUGAGAGGGCGGACGGACACACUGGGACUGAGACACGGCCCAGACUCCUACGGGAGGCAGCAGUGGGGAAUUGUUCGCAAUGGGCGAAAGCCUGACGACGCAACGCCGCGUGGAGGACGAAGAUCUUCGGGUCGUAAACUCCUGUCGAGUGGGAAGAACACUUCCUGGGUGAAUAAUCCGGGAGGCUGACGGUACCACUAAAGGAAGCCCCGGCUAACUCCGUGCCAGCAGCCGCGGUAAUACGGGGGGGGCAAGCGUUGUUCGGAAUUACUGGGCGUAAAGGGCUCGUAGGCGGCCAACUAAGUCAGACGUGAAAUCCCCAGGCUCAACCUGGGAACUGCGUCUGAUACUGGAUGGCUUGAAUUCGGGAGAGGGAUGCAGAAUUCCAGGUGUAGCGGUGAAAUGCGUAGAUAUCUGGAGGAAUACCGGUGGCGAAGGCGGCAUCCUGGACCGACAUUGACGCUGAUGAGCGAAAGCUAGGGGAGCAAACGGGAUUAGAUACCCCGGUAGUCCUAGCCCUAAACGAUGAAUGCUUGGUGUGGCGGGUAUCGAUCCCUGCCGUGCCGAAGCUAACGCAUUAAGCAUUCCG